This 374-nucleotide unclassified non-coding RNA is filed under the name soil metagenome. Its description in RNAcentral is "partial contains internal transcribed spacer 2 and large subunit ribosomal RNA". The stretch from base 1 to 120 matches the Rfam family "5.8S ribosomal RNA", at positions 35 to 154 of the family's 154-position model. The record is from RNAcentral.
GAUGAAGAACGCAGCGAAAUGCGAUAAUUAAUGUGAAUUGCAGAAUUCCGUGAAUCAUCGAGUCUUUGAACACACAUUGCGCCUCAUGGCAUUCCGUGAGGCAUGCCCAUCUCAGCGUUAGAAAAUAUUCUCAAAUUUUAGUUUUGUGCUAAAAUUUGGAUCAUGUCAAGGAAGCUAUUACUAUUAUUGUGAUCGCUCUUUGGAAAUUGAUAGGUCUUUGAGUUGCUACUCAUAGAACGUGAUGAAUCUUUCUUCGUUCUAUUGUAAUUCACUCUGGUAGUCCUAAAACUUGUAUGCCUGUGGCAUAUCUUGUAAUUUGACCUGAGAUUGGGUAGGGAUACCCGCUGAACUUAAGCAUAUCAAUAAGCGGAGGA